GAUGAACGCUAGCUACAGGCUUAACACAUGCAAGUCGAGGGUCAGCAUGGUCUUAGCUUGCUAAGGCCGAUGGCGACCGGCGCACGGGUGAGUAACGCGUAUCCAACCUGCCUUACACUCUUGGACAGCCUUCUGAAAGGGAGAUUAAUACAAGAUGUUAUCAUGAGUAAGCAUUUUCACAUGAUUAAAGGUUUACCGGUGUAAGAUGGGGAUGCGUUCCAUUAGAUAGUAGGCGGGGUAACGGCCCACCUAGUCUUCGAUGGAUAGGGGUUCUGAGAGGAAGGUCCCCCACAUUGGAACUGAGACACGGUCCAAACUCCUACGGGAGGCAGCAGUGAGGAAUAUUGGUCAAUGGACGAGAGUCUGAACCAGCCAAGUAGCGUGAAGGAUGAAGGUUCUAUGGAUUGUAAACUUCUUUUAUACGGGAAUAAACGGAUCCACGUGUGGAUUUUUGCAUGUACCGUAUGAAUAAGGAUCGGCUAACUCCGUGCCAGCAGCCGCGGUAAUACGGAGGAUCCGAGCGUUAUCCGGAUUUAUUGGGUUUAAAGGGAGCGUAGAUGGGUUGUUAAGUCAGUUGUGAAAGUUUGCGGCUCAACCGUAAAAUUGCAAUUGAUACUGGCAGUCUUGAGUACAGUUGAGGUAGGCGGAAUUCGUGGUGUAGCGGUGAAAUGCUUAGAUAUCACGAAGAACUCCGAUUGCGAAGGCAGCUUACUAACCUGUAACUGACAUUGAUGAUCGAAAGUGUGGGUAUCAAACAGGAUUAGAUACCCUGGUAGUCCACACGGUAAACGAUGAAUACUCGCUGUAGGCGAUAUACAGUCUGCGGCCAAGCGAAAGCAUUAAGUAUUCCACCUGGGGAGUACGCCGGCAACGGUGAAACUCAAAGGAAUUGACGGGGGCCCGCACAAGCGGAGGAACAUGUGGUUUAAUUCGAUGAUACGCGAGGAACCUUACCCGGGCUUAAAUUGCAACCGAAUAUGGCGGAAACGCUAUAGCUAGCAAUAGCGGUUGUGAAGGUGCUGCAUGGUUGUCGUCAGCUCGUGCCGUGAGGUGUCGGCUUAAGUGCCAUAACGAGCGCAACCCUUGCCGAUAGUUACUAACAGGUCAUGCUGAGGACUCUGUCGGGACUGCCAUCGUAAGAUGUGAGGAAGGUGGGGAUGACGUCAAAUCAGCACGGCCCUUACGUCCGGGGCUACACACGUGUUACAAUGGGGGGUACAGAGGGCUGCUACCACGCAAGUGGAUGCCAAUCCCAAAAACCUCUCUCAGUUCGGAUUGAAGUCUGCAACCCGACUUCAUGAAGCUGGAUUCGCUAGUAAUCGCGCAUCAGCCACGGCGCGGUGAAUACGUUCCCGGGCCUUGUACACACCGCCCGUCAAGCCAUGGGAGCCGGGGGUACCUGAAGUGCGUAACCGCAAGGAGCGCCCUAGGGUA
Molecule: ribosomal RNA, 1434 nt
Filed under: uncultured organism
Description: 16S ribosomal RNA
Rfam family: Bacterial small subunit ribosomal RNA
Source: RNAcentral